CUUAUACUGUGAAACUGCGAAUGGCUCAUUAAAUCAGUUAUCGUUUAUUUGAUAGUACCUUACUACAUGGAUACCUGUGGUAAUUCUAGAGCUAAUACAUGCUAAAAACCUCGACUUCGGAAGGGGUGUAUUUAUUAGAUAAAAAACCAACGCCCUUCGGGGCUCCUUGGUGAAUCAUAAUAACUAAGCGAAUCGCAUGGCCUUGCGCCGGCGAUGGUUCAUUCAAAUUUCUGCCCUAUCAACUUUCGAUGGUAGGAUAGUGGCCUACCAUGGUGGCAACGGGUAACGGGGAAUUAGGGUUCGAUUCCGGAGAGGGAGCCUGAGAAACGGCUACCACAUCCAAGGAAGGCAGCAGGCGCGCAAAUUACCCAAUCCCGACACGGGGAGGUAGUGACAAUAAAUACUGAUACGGGGCUCUUUUGGGUCUCGUAAUUGGAAUGAGUACAAUCUAAAUCCCUUAACGAGGAACAAUUGGAGGGCAAGUCUGGUGCCAGCAGCCGCGGUAAUUCCCAGCUCCAAUAGCGUAUAUUAAAGUUGUUGCAGUUAAAAAGCUCGUAGUUGAACCUUGGGUCUGGCUGGCCGGUCCGCCUCACCGCGAGUACUGGUCCGGCUGGGACCUUUCCUUCUGGGGAACCUCAUGGCCUUCACUGGCUGUGGGGGGAACCAGGACUUUUACUGUGAAAAAAUUAGAGUGUUCAAAGCAGGCCUUUGCUCGAAUACAUUAGCAUGGAAUAAUAGAAUAGGACGUGCGGUUCUAUUUUGUUGGUUUCUAGGACCGCCGUAAUGAUUAAUAGGGAUAGUCGGGGGCGUCAGUAUUCAGCUGUCAGAGGUGAAAUUCUUGGAUUUGCUGAAGACUAACUACUGCGAAAGCAUGUCGCCAAGGAUGUUUUCAUUAAUCAGGGGAACGAAAGUUAGGGGUAUCGAAGACGAUCAGAUACCGGUCGUAGUCUUAACCAUAAACUA
Molecule: ribosomal RNA, 963 nt
Filed under: Aspergillus amstelodami
Lineage: Eukaryota; Fungi; Ascomycota; Eurotiomycetes; Eurotiales; Aspergillaceae
Description: SSU rRNA
Rfam family: Eukaryotic small subunit ribosomal RNA
Source: RNAcentral